GUUAAUGUAGCUUAAUUUUAGAGUGUGGUACUGAAAAUGCUAGGGUGGACUUUGUAUGUUUUUUUGACG
This 69-nucleotide transfer RNA is filed under the name Cephalodiscus hodgsoni. RNAcentral describes it as "tRNA-Phe". The record is from RNAcentral. Lineage: Eukaryota; Metazoa; Hemichordata; Pterobranchia; Cephalodiscida; Cephalodiscidae.